GGGGUACACGAGUGGCGAACGGGUGAGUMMCACGUGGGUAAUCUGCCCUGCACUUCGGGAUAAGCCUGGGAAACUGGGUCUAAUACCGGAUAUGAACUCCUGCCGCAUGGUGGGGGUUGGAAAGUUUUUCGGUGCAGGAUGAGCCCGCGGCCUAUCAGCUUGUUGGUGGGGUAAUGGCCUACCAAGGCGACGACGGGUAGCCGGCCUGAGAGGGUGAUCGGCCACACUGGGACUGAGACACGRHMNAGAHWYMUACGGGAGGCAGCAGUGGGGAAUAUUGCACAAUGGGCGAAAGCCUGAUGCAGCGACGCCGCGUGGGGGGAUGACGGUCUUCGGAUUGUAAACCCCUUUCAGUAGGGACGAAGCGCAAGUGACGGUACCUGCAGAAGAAGCACCGGCUAACUACGUGCCAGCAGCCGCGGUAAUACGUAGGGUGCGAGCGUUGUCCGGAAUUACUGGGCGUAAAGAAGCUCGUAGGCGGUUUGUCACGUCGUCUGUGAAAUCCCUCGGCUUAACCGGGGGGCGKGCAGGCGAUACGGGCAGACUUGAGUACUACAGGGGAGACUGKAAUUCCUGGUGUAGCGGUGAAAUGCGCAGAUWUCAGGAGGAACACCGNUGGCGAAGGCGGGKCUCUGGGUAGUAACUGACGCUGAGGAGCGRAAGCAUGGGUAGCGAACAGGAUUAGAUACCCUG
RNAcentral lists this ribosomal RNA (693 nucleotides) under bacterium RB40DO. Its description in RNAcentral is "partial 16S ribosomal RNA". It matches the Rfam family "Bacterial small subunit ribosomal RNA", at positions 84 to 789 of the family's 1533-position model. The record is from RNAcentral.